This 23-nucleotide microRNA is filed under the name Oreochromis niloticus (Nile tilapia). Its description in RNAcentral is "oni-miR-10905". The record is from miRBase by way of RNAcentral. Lineage: Eukaryota; Metazoa; Chordata; Actinopteri; Cichliformes; Cichlidae.
CUGGCUAGCAUCCUGAGCCCCGU